RNAcentral lists this ribosomal RNA (253 nucleotides) under uncultured bacterium. Its description in RNAcentral is "partial 16S ribosomal RNA". It matches the Rfam family "Bacterial small subunit ribosomal RNA", at positions 524 to 776 of the family's 1533-position model. The record is from RNAcentral.
UACGUAGGGGGCAAGCGUUGUCCGGAUUUAUUGGGCGUAAAGAGCGUGUAGGCGGCCAUACAGGUCAGCUGUGAAAACUCGAGGCUCAACCUCGAGACGUCGGUUGAAACCGUAUGGCUAGAGUCCGGAAGAGGAGAGUGGAAUUCCCGGUGUAGCGGUGAAAUGCGCAGAUAUCGGGAAGAACACCCGUGGCGAAGGCGGCUCUGUGGGACGGUACUGACGCUGAGACGCGAAAGCGUGGGGAGCGAACAGG